This 261-nucleotide ribosomal RNA is filed under the name uncultured bacterium. RNAcentral describes it as "partial 16S ribosomal RNA". It matches the Rfam family "Bacterial small subunit ribosomal RNA", at positions 793 to 1055 of the family's 1533-position model. The record is from RNAcentral.
GUCCACGCUGUAAACGAUGAAUGCUAGAUAUCGGGUUUAUUCUCGGUGUCAAAGUUAACAUGAUAAGCAUUCCGCCUGGGGAGUACGGUCGCAAGAUUAAAACUCAAAGGAAUUGACGGGGGCUCGCACAAGCGGUGGAAUAUGUGGUUUAAUUCGAAGCAACGCGAAGAACCUUACCAGCCCUUGACAUGGUGGUCGUAGAAUCCAGAGAUGGAUUCGUCAGUUCGGCUGGACCACACACAGGUGUUGCAUGGCUGUCGU